This 1232-nucleotide long non-coding RNA is filed under the name Pogona vitticeps (central bearded dragon). Its description in RNAcentral is "lncRNA (ENSPVIG00000005058.1)". Lineage: Eukaryota; Metazoa; Chordata; Lepidosauria; Squamata; Agamidae. The record is from RNAcentral.
GAACACUGUUACCUUCCCACCGAGGUGAUCCCUAUUUAUCUACUUGCAUUUGCAUGCUUUCGAACCGCUAGGUUGGCGGGAGCUGGGACAAGCGACGGGCGCUCACUCCGUCGCGUGGAUUCGAUCUUACGACUGCUUGGUCUUCUGACCCUGCAGCACAGGCUUCUGCGGUAUAGCCCGCAGCACCACCACGUCCCAUUACUUUUACAUAGCAAAUGUAAUAUCAAAGUUGUUAGUAUAGCUGAUGCAUUGGGACAAUUCUUCUUUCAGUUGUUGUUUGUUUGUUCCCUAAACCAAACAGGAGCCCAUCUCCAAAUUCUCUGGGAGUCUUUUUGACUCUAGUGAUAACAUCCGGGAUCAAAGAACCCCUAGAGCUGGUCUUCAGCAGGAGAAGCAGAAAGCAGGACCAAAGGGAAAACCCUUUGCAGCAGCUGGCAACAGACAGCCGGUUCCACCAGAAGCCACAAACAGCACCCUAGUAGAUGAUGGCAAGUUUUCAAAGGAGAACAAGGACCAAGGCCCAGGAGCUGCAGAUGCCACCCAGCCGCCUUUGAAGGGAAUUUUAAUCGCACACGUAUCCAAAGACAGCCCAAUAGACGUGGCUGUAGUGCCAUCUGAAGACAAAGUGUUGGAGGAUGCCCUUAUUUCAGAAGCCAGCACACCCGACUCUGGUCCUGUUGAGGAACCAUCUAAAAGUGGCCCAUUCCAGAAGAUAAAUCAUGUUAUAACAAUACCUCGUAUCAUUCUAACACGUCCUUCCACAUCAGAUGAAGAUACCGACCAGCUAACACAGGAUCCUGACGAUCUUGAGCUAGAGGAGACAGAAAACACUGAAAGCCACCUCUAUUCAGACUGUUUAAACAAUGCUUUUUACCCUCCUUAAUAAAAUAAUUCUUUUUAGAAAAAGAACCAGAACGUCAGUGUAUUUCUUGUUGUUUUUCAGUUGCUUGGACAAGAAAUUGGAAGCUGUUAUGGUGGAUGAUGAGAUACUGAGCUGAGGUCAUGGAGAAGGCCUUGGUGUGGGUGGGUGUGUGGGUGUGAGAAGAUCUCAAGGUGGCUAGCCCUCAAGGGCAGGUAAGGGAAAGGUGAGUCAGGUAGACCAGGGAGAGGCAAGGCAACUCAUGUGGAAGGCACAUGGUAGCAUUUAUUUACAUAUAUUUCAAGUGACACACAUAUAAUUUUACAGCUACAACUUAACACCUAAUACAACUAGUUUUAAGCAAGCAAUGCAG